Molecule: ribosomal RNA, 791 nt
Filed under: uncultured Staphylococcus sp.
Lineage: Bacteria; Bacillati; Bacillota; Bacilli; Caryophanales; Staphylococcaceae
Description: bacterial SSU rRNA
Rfam family: Bacterial small subunit ribosomal RNA
Source: RNAcentral
UUAGCGGCGGACGGGUGAGUAACACGUGGGUAACCUACCUAUAAGACUGGGACAACUUCGGGAAACCGGAGCUAAUACCGGAUAAUAUGUUGAACCGCAUGGUUCAAUAGUGAAAGAUGGUUUUGCUAUCACUUAUAGAUGGACCCGCGCCGUAUUAGCUAGUUGGUGAGGUAACGGCUCACCAAGGCAACGAUACGUAGCCGACCUGAGAGGGUGAUCGGCCACACUGGAGCUGAGACACGGUCCAGACUCCUACGGGAGGCAGCAGUAGGGAAUCUUCCACAAUGGGCGAAAGCCCGACGGAGCAACGCCGCGUGAGUGAUGAAGGUCUUAGGAUCGUAAAACUCUGUUAUUAGGGAAGAACAAACGUGUAAGUAACUGUGCACGUCUUGACGGUACCUAAUCAGAAAGCCACGGCUAACUACGUGCCAGCAGCCGCGGUAAUACGUAGGUGGCAAGCGUUAUCCGGAAUUAUUGGGCGUAAAGCGCGCGUAGGCGGUUUUUUAAGUCUGAUGUGAAAGCCCACGGCUCAACCGUGGAGGGUCAUUGGAAACUGGAAAACUUGAGUGCAGAAGAGGAAAGUGGAAUUCCAUGUGUAGCGGUGAAAUGCGCAGAGAUAUGGAGGAACACCAGUGGCGAAGGCGACUUUCUGGUCUGUAACUGACGCUGAUGUGCGAAAGCGUGGGGAUCAAACAGGAUUAGAUACCCUGGUAGUCCACGCCGUAAACGAUGAGUGCUAAGUGUUAGGGGGUUUCCGCCCCUUAGUGCUGCAGCUAACGCAUUAAGCACUC